CAAUAGCGUAUAUUAAAGUUGUUGCAGUUAAAAAGCUCGUAGUUGGAUUUCUGAUCGAGACAUCAGGUCGGGUCCGAGAGGAUCAUGUACUUUGAUUUUGUUUUGAUCAUCCUUGGGGAGAGCAUUUCUGGCAUUCAGUUGUCGGGAUUGGGAUCCUCAUCGUUUACUGUGAAAAAAUUAGAGUGUUCAAAGCAGGCCUCGGCCUCUGAAUACAUUAGCAUGGAAUAAUAAGAUAGGACUUUGGUGGUCUAUUUUGUUGGUUUGCACGCCAAAGUAAUGAUUAAUAGGGAUAGUUGGGGGUAUUCGUAUUCAAUUGUCAGAGGUGAAAUUCUUGGAUUUAUGGAAGACGAACUACUGCGAAAGCAUUUACCAAGGAUGCUUUCAUUAA
This 388-nucleotide ribosomal RNA is filed under the name uncultured eukaryote. Its description in RNAcentral is "partial 18S ribosomal RNA". It matches the Rfam family "Eukaryotic small subunit ribosomal RNA", at positions 592 to 976 of the family's 1831-position model. The record is from RNAcentral.